Ciona intestinalis (vase tunicate) is the source of this 313-nucleotide non-coding RNA. The record is from RefSeq and is a predicted model, not a curated record. Lineage: Eukaryota; Metazoa; Chordata; Ascidiacea; Phlebobranchia; Cionidae.
UAGCAGUGAUUAUCAAGUGUGCUUCACUUUGCAAACCAAGGAAAACAAAAUGAACAAGCUACUACUCGUCGCUCUUUUGCUCGGCAUGCUCAUGAUGGUGCAAGACUCUGAGGCUUUGCAGGCAGGACAACGACGACGACGAAGACGAAGACGACGACGUCACCCAGAACAUGAGAACAUAGAAAUGGAUUUAACAGAAGAUUUUAACAUGAACAUUGAAAAUAUCGAUGAUUUACAAGAUAAGGAACACACCAAGUUUGAAUGAUACAGACCUUCUUCUUUUACCCAUUCCAGUAAAUAAAUAACUAGCAAC